GAAAAGAAACUAACAAGGAUUCCCCUAGUAGCGGCGAGCGAAGCGGGAAGAGCCCGGGAUGAAAAUCUCUUCGGAGAGUUGUAGUCUGAGCUCCCUUGGGCGGUCAGUGUGGGUAAAUCGUCUGGGAUGACGUGCCAGGGAGGGUGAGAGCCCCGUCCACCCCACACAGGACCCGCCCGCACGAGGGCGCUUCAACCGAGUCGGGUAGCUUGGGAAUGCUGCUCCAAUUGGUGGUAAAUCUCAUCAAAGGCUAAAUAACGGUGGGAGACCGAUAGCGAACAAGUACCGUGAGGGAAAGAUGGAAAGAACUUUGAAAAGAGAGUGAAAAGCGCUUGAAACCGUCACGGGGGAAGCGGAUUGCGUGAGUGGUGGCCUGCACUGUUCAGCUCAAAAGUGGAGUGUAUUCUGUGCAUGCCGGGCGUGUGUGGCUGGGGUGCGUGCGACUUUUUGGCACGCGUUCCUGGUGAGGGCUCCCUGCCCUGUCAGGUGAGGACACACGCGAAAUGACGCAAUACGACCCGUCUUGAAACACGGACCAAGGAGUCUAGCACGGCUGCGAGUCGAAGGGUGUGAAAAACCCAGAGGGCGGAGUGAAAGCGAAAGAAAGCAAAUUGGGGAGGCGUUGCGGUUUUACCAAAAUGUCCUACCUCGAGCACCUGUGCUGGGACCCGAAAGAUGGUGAACUAUGCCGGAGUAGGGCAAAGCCAGAGGAAACUCUGGUGGAGGCUCGUAGCGAUGCUGACGUGCAAAUCGCUCGUCGAACUUGGGUAUAGGGGCGAAAGACUAAUCGAACCAUCUAGUAGCUGGUUCCCUCCGAAGUUUCUCUCAGGAUAGCGGGCCGACGACAUGUUGUUUUGUGCGGUAAAGCGAAUGAUUAGUGCAUUUGGGGGCCGAAGGCCUUCAGGCGAUUCUCAAACUUUAAAUGCGCAAGGGGGCGGCUGCUUAAUUUGAGCCUGCUCUUUGAAAAACGUCGGCCCUGUGGGCCACUUUUGGUAAGCAGAACUGGCGAUAAGGGAUGAACCUUAAGCACGGUUAAGGCGCCGCAUUGCCCGCUUAUAGACCCCACAAAAGGUGUUGAUUCAUCCAGACAGCAGGACGGUGGCCAUGGAAGUCGGAAUCCGCUAAGGAGUGUGUAACAACUCACCUGCCGAAUGAAUUAGCCCUGAAAAUGGAUGGCGCUGAAGCGGGCAGCCGACACCGUGCCGUUCGGGCAAGACGAAGCCCGGAUGAGUAGGAGGGCGUGGCGGUCAGUGACGCAGGCGUGGGUGCAGACCCCGCUGAAACGGCCGCUAGUGCAGAUCUUGGUGGUAGUAGCAAAUAUUCAAGCGAGAUCCUUGAAGGGCGAAGCGGGGAAGGGUUCCACGCGAACAUUGAUUGGGCGUGGGUGAGUC
Molecule: ribosomal RNA, 1391 nt
Filed under: Nothocladus theaquus
Lineage: Eukaryota; Rhodophyta; Florideophyceae; Batrachospermales; Batrachospermaceae
Description: eukaryotic LSU rRNA
Rfam family: Eukaryotic large subunit ribosomal RNA
Source: RNAcentral